UCAGCUCUUGCACAAACCUAAACAAAAAAAUGGAUAUUAUAUAGAUUUGGGAAAAAGGGAUCGGAGGAAAGAAAAACAGAGACAACACUGCUAACAGAGGUUCCUCUUUGCUCGAUUUAUAGGAACAAGUAGUGUCGAUCUGUUGGUGAAAUAUAUAUGAAUAAGGUUCCUUUUUGCUGAAUAUUCUUCAAUUUUUGACUAAUAGGGUUCUAUAAAGUAUGUAUUUCAUCAGGAAUGGGGUUCUCUAAAGUCGAUGGAGAAGGAAGAGAGUUCCUAGUUUGAAAAUCACUGUGAGCGUAAGAAGUUCGAAGUUCUAAAGGAUUGAACCAGUUCGCCCAUUUGAAGUUUUGAAAAUUAGUUCGAGUUGUUAUUAGUGCAUGUUGAAGAGCAGUGAGCUUCAAGAGUUUUGGGGUGCAAUGGAUCUGCUGCAGGUGUUGCAGUCAAGGAAUUGGCAUGGGUGGAGAGCUGAUGUGUUGGUGAGGUCCUAUCUUGGAAGGCUGCUGUCUCUAUGUUGAUGCCUUUUAUUUGCCAAGGUGACCCAUUAGCUGUUGUACCUACAAAAAAACCAUCAAAGGAAAACAACCAGCCAACAAGACAGAAAAACCAGGAUGGGCCUAUAGCAGUCUUGGAGUUUCUAUUUGAUUUGGUGGUUGUAUCAUUGAUGUCCUCCAUGUAGUUGUUGUUAAUGCAUGUUGAUGUAUCACUCCAGUAACCUGCAACAAUACAACAAACAAACAAAAGCAAGAAAGAACUUGCACAAGCUAGCAAAAUAGAAAGGACCUCUAAGAGUGUU
This is a long non-coding RNA of Solanum dulcamara, 793 nucleotides long. RefSeq lists it as uncharacterized. The transcript is spliced from 3 exons. The record is from RefSeq and is a predicted model, not a curated record. NCBI's taxonomy places the organism in Eukaryota, Viridiplantae, Streptophyta, Magnoliopsida, Solanales, Solanaceae.